GUCUUAAUUGAUUGCACUUGCGAUUUUUAGUUUAAUCUGUCGUCGUAAUAAUACCACGAACGAUAUUUUUUAUACUUCAGCUUUUGCCAUAGAAAGUUAGUAAUAGUCAAUACGACCUUUCAGCUAAAUCGUGAUUCUGUUGGAUUGAUCGUAUUUUAUCGUAUAUCAUUAUAUUAAUUACAAAAAGAAUAGGUUCAAGAACUAUACCACCCUCCUCGUACAAUUAGUUAAAGACAGAUGCAAUAGUUGUUAAAUAUAUACGAACAAUGUAUAUGAAUCACUGAUGGUAAAACCAUUGAAAAGCUUCAUAAAUGUAUCUGGUAUAUGAGCAUAUAUGGUAAAGGAGAAAAAAAAAUGAUACGAUGUCAUCAACAUUGCCAUAUCUGCAUAAUGGACAAUCAACAAUAAUUCAUAUAAGAAUAUUAAGUCACAUACAUGUAACGUGAGUGAUUCUGUUGGAAUUAUGCCGCCAUUUGAUGACGUAGAAUAGCAGCUGGCGCAGUUUUUACGCAGUGGUGACAAUUGGGGACUUUUAAUGUCGGACAAGCAGAUGACCCCGUCAUUAUCUGAUGCAGACGAUUCAUUUUAAUGACCUCGGUCACUAUAUAUAUAUUAAGUUUAUUGUACACCAUUUAAUACUUUACAGAGCUGCUUGUUCCAGAUUGGCAAAGUUAAUUUCCACUUCGGUUCUGAUUUUUCUAUAGCUAUUCCCGGCGUAUAAAUAAAGAGAAUGAAGCCCACCAUCUUUGGUAUCCUGGUCACGGCACUAAUUUCCAGCGUCAUUUCAAAAAGCGUCGAAACUCGCGAGUCAAUGACGUCACUAGAAAAGGAAUGCUGGGAGCAUUGUAGCACAGAAUACACCAACUGCAAGCUGUUCUACGGAUGUCGUAAGCUGCCAUCGGGGGAAUUCAACAAAGAUUGUCCGUUUGAUUGCGUUAAAUGGUCGGAAACCUGUUUGAAACGGUGUUUGUAAAACUAAUUAGAUUCUGUAAAAGCAAUAAUAUUGCAAACAUUCAACCAGAAAACAUAACUUGACAGUGCUUCUCUUAAAUGAACAUAUAAACUACCAAAUACUAGCAUUUUUAUGUAUCUUUCUUUUAUUCUGACGACUGCUAAUGAAACAGAUUGUAUUUAAUUAGUUUCAUAGUAACUGUUAUGAUUCCAGGCGCCUAACGUUAAUAAUAGUUCUUUUUACGAUAAGAUUAUUUUCUGUACUAAAAUAAAAAUUUACUUUAAGAAUUAUUAUAGUACAGUAAACGAUAUUAAAAAAAACAAACAAACAUGUUUUAGCGACAGGGAAUUGUAUUAUACUACAUGGAAUAACCUAAUCAUAAAAAUAAAUAGAUUCAACGCCAGGCGCCUGUGGAUAUGAUGUAUAUUUUUACUGAAUAUUUUGCUUUCGCCAGACUGCGGACGCACGCACAAUAAACGUAUUCUUAUCAA
This is a long non-coding RNA of Magallana angulata, 1443 nucleotides long. RefSeq lists it as uncharacterized. NCBI's taxonomy places the organism in Eukaryota, Metazoa, Mollusca, Bivalvia, Ostreida, Ostreidae. The transcript is spliced from 2 exons. The record is from RefSeq and is a predicted model, not a curated record.